This 68-nucleotide transfer RNA is filed under the name marine eukaryotic metagenome. It matches the Rfam family "tRNA". From Rfam's summary of the family: Transfer RNA (tRNA) molecules are approximately 80 nucleotides in length. The record is from RNAcentral.
CAGGUAGCUCAGUUGGUAGAGCAGAGGACUGAAAAUCCUCGUGUCGGUGGUUCGAGUCCGCCUCUGGG